GACGAACGCUGGCGGCGUGCUUAACACAUGCAAGUCGAACGGAAAGGCCCUGCUUGCAGGGUACUCGAGUGGCGAACGGGUGAGUAACACGUGGGUGAUCUGCCCUGCACUUCGGGAUAAGCCUGGGAAACUGGGUCUAAUACCGGAUAGGAGCCAUUUUUAGUGUGAUGGUUGGAAAGUUUUUUCGGUGUAGGAUGAGCUCGCGGCCUAUCAGCUUGUUGGUGGGGUAAUGGCCUACCAAGGCGGCGACGGGUAGCCGGCCUGAGAGGGUGGACGGCCACAUUGGGGCUGAGAUACGGCCAGACUCCUACGGGAGGCAGCAGUGGGGAAUAUUGCACAAUGGGCGCAAGCCUGAUGCAGCGACGCCGCGUGGGGGAUGACGGCCUUCGGGUUGUAAACUCCUUUCGCUAGGGACGAAGCUUUUUGUGACGGUACCUAGAUAAGAAGCACCGGCUAACUACGU
This 463-nucleotide ribosomal RNA is filed under the name uncultured bacterium. RNAcentral's name for it is "partial 16S ribosomal RNA". It matches the Rfam family "Bacterial small subunit ribosomal RNA", at positions 28 to 506 of the family's 1533-position model. The record is from RNAcentral.